CGCCGCCAUUUUGAGUGAACCAGUACUUAGUGUCUAUAGGGAAGAUCUAAAGAACGCUUCCACAGUGGGGAUCGAACCCGUGACCUCCUGGUUGCUAGGCGGACACCAUAUCCUUUACGCCACAGCUACCUCAGGGUUUGGGGUAACGGUACAGUUUGUCAAGGUAUUCCGAAUCAUUAGGCAUUCUGAAUCCACAUUUUCAUUUAAAAAGUCUUAACGUUUGGUAUGCGAUUUGAAAGGUUAUUGUUGUUUCUAAAAAUUUAAUCCCCCAGCCUGUAAAGAAUGAAGAAUCAUUGUUUUUGAUGAAAAUGUUGAUUCAGAAUGCCUAAUGAUACCUGUACCCUGAGGCGGGGGAAAUAGGGCAUCAUUUAAAAAAAAAUUUGGACUUUAAACCAAACAUGAGAAACAAUAUAAUAUGUUUUUUUAAUCACUUGAUUAGUCUUUAUUACCGCCAAAUUAAAUACAUAACAAUUCUAUUUAGUUUUAAACAUUUUAAACUUGACAAUUCUGGGUCUAGGGCAAUUAAUUUGCUUGAGUGUCGGGUGAAUUUUUAUCUGGGGAAAAAUUAAUACUUUUUUGUUGAGGGAAUGGGGCCUUAUUUUGGCCAAGUCUUGAAUCGUUAUAAGACGGUAUAUAAUAUUAUAUUUUCCUGUCAAUAAUAUCUGCAAGGGGAGUUAAACAGUAUAGAGUGAUAUAUACAUGUACAUGGUCACUCUUAAUGUCACUCAAAUAGAUAAAGUAAUCAGUAUUGCUAUUUAAUGGUAUGUUUUUUUCAUGAGAAUAAACUUAAGGUUAAUAGUGAUUACUUUGUAAAAUAAAACAAAGCAUGUGCAAAUAUUGCAAUAAAAUAUUCAUUUUUAACACCAUUAAAAAAAAGUUAACAAUAUCUAUACACAUUCCUUGGUAUUUUACCCUAGCAUAACAGCUUCAAUCACAUAAUCAUUAUUUCAAUCAAUUAACUGGGUCCGUUAUCUCAUCAUCUCUUAAUAAAUCAUAUAUAUUGAUAGCCACCUGCUUCGUACACAUUUCAAACUAAUAUUUCAGACACCAAACGCAAAGCCUAUCCCAAGGCAAUGCCCCAUUUGCGUGGUAAAAGGCAACACGACUGUGUACCUCUGGGUAACAGACCACGUUCGCUGGGUGCAAGCGCUGACGGCAGACCCCAUGAAGCCGUUGAUGUCAGAGGCACGUGCUAAGACCGGUCGGAAAGUGAAGAAGACAAAGCCGACGAAUUACUACUCUUGCUGGCUGUGCGACCGGUCGGUGAUUGACCGGCUGCGUCAUCUAGAACAGGAGCACAAAAUGGAGGCUGGGACAUUCAAUUUUGUUUACACAAGAGGGCUGUUUCCGGAAAGUCGCGAAAACUUCAGGAAAGGUGACCAGCAGACUCGCCACUCAUGAUGACUCGGCAUAGGAGGAUGAGAAGGUGGAGGAUGAGGAGGAGGAGGAGGAGGAAGAGGACUUUUCAUUCCUAAGGCGGAAAUACUGCCUGAGCCUGGAACCCAAUGCAAGGGUGAUGCAUGGUCGGAGAAGCUGCAAUUUCAAUCGUUGACUCAUAUGUAGACUACAUGUUCCUGCGGAGCAGGCCAGGUGGGUUGGCAAACGAGUCGAAAACACAAGAGGUCAACAUGAAGAUCAACCGGUUCCUGGCCCUGUCUGGCUACUUGGAAGGAGUGAUGUUGAGUGACGUGCUGUUGUGGAUGGGCCAUAUGGAGGUCCACGACAGUUCCUCAACACCACUCACCAGCUGAAGACGGUGCGGAAUGCACUAACGGCAAUCAAGAACUUCCUGAAGUGGUGCGAGGGAAUGGUCUAGCGGACGCCCGCACAUUGAACAAUGCUUCCUGACCUCAACCUGCCUGGAUAAGAGCCGUCGCGAGGUUGUUCGGAGGGUAGAGGAGAGUGCAGCCAUCCUGACGGACGCAAACCUGGAGCGCCACUUCACUGAAAGUAGGUGUACCUAGAGAUUGAGCUGGAGACAGUGAAGGUGCUGACCUCUGUGUGGAACACUUAGAAGCUGGCAAGUUUUCAUAUUGAAGGGUAUGGUUCCCAACCGCCCAUCACACACAGAAUGUAGCUUGUCGUCUUCCGCAGUAAAAACUGGGUGCUGGAAGAUGCUUACUGCUAUAUUGACUGCUUCCGAGCGCUUCCUGGACCUAAAAAUUAUCUCCCAGCAGCAACCUCCCCAAGGUGUGACGAGAGUCUUCAAGUGUUCCAGACGGCUGGUGAUGCAUUUCAAGAAAAGCCAUCAAAAUCUUGCAAUGAUCUGUAUACUUAAUAAAUGACAAAACAACAA
Long non-coding RNA from Dreissena polymorpha, 2296 nucleotides. RefSeq lists it as uncharacterized. The transcript has 8 exons. NCBI's taxonomy places the organism in Eukaryota, Metazoa, Mollusca, Bivalvia, Myida, Dreissenidae. The record is from RefSeq and is a predicted model, not a curated record.